RNAcentral lists this unclassified non-coding RNA (270 nucleotides) under uncultured fungus. RNAcentral describes it as "partial contains 5.8S ribosomal RNA, internal transcribed spacer 2, and large subunit ribosomal RNA". The stretch from base 1 to 52 matches the Rfam family "5.8S ribosomal RNA", at positions 103 to 154 of the family's 154-position model. The record is from RNAcentral. Lineage: Eukaryota; Fungi.
AACGCACAUUGCGCCCGCCAGUAUUCUGGCGGGCAUGCCUGUCUGAGCGUCAUUUCAACCCUCAGGGCCCGUACGCGGGCUCUGGCGUUGGGACGCGGCCCCCUGCCCCCCCGGGCGGCGGCCGGUCCCGAAAUCUAGUGGCGGUCCUUCCGCGACCUCCUCUGUGCAGUAGUGAUACCUCGCAGCUGGAUAGCGGUCGGGCCACGCCGUAAAACCCCAACUUCCUCCAAGGUUGACCUCAGAUCAGGUAGGAAUACCCGCUGAACUUAA